GUUUUCCAUCCACGAGCAAUAAUAUAAUUUUUCAUAUGUGCGAUUACAGUUGGAAAGAUGCCAGCGUUCAUUCUGAAUGCCCAAAGUAUUAAAAAACAUUGUUGAUUUAUUACACUUUUUCUUCCCCAGCCACAGUAUUGUCACAGUAUUAUGACAUUUAUUGCCUGUAAUCCUUGAUCAUGCUUAUGUUUCUCUGUUUUUGUUCGCAUACUUGGCACCAAUCUCUUGGAGCGUGUACCUCUGAUUCUUGAGGUGGAGAGGAGUAAGGAGAAAUUCUGGCACAGUUAUACAGUCUGAAGAAACUGCAAAGAGCCUAUCACAGGUCUGUGUCAAGGUUAUGUGAUGAAAUUGACUGAAUCCAUUCAUCAACUGUCCAGUGCUUCAAAGAGGGCUUCACUAGUAUUGUGCAUGAGCUUGCACCAAAUAAAAUCCUUUUGGCCAAAAUAUACAUUGAAGCAAGAGAGGAGAUGCUUGCAGAUGAUCUUCCAGUGUGUUGCUGAUACAUCAUAUGAAAAUGGCUUUCACCAGGAUGGUUCAAGUCCUGAUCAAAUGGAUGGUGUGCCGGGGGAAUAAGGAUCAAAGAGGGGGUAAUUGCAGCCUUCAGUGCAUACUUUCUUUUUUAACAUGACUUUUUUCACCCUGUAUGAAAAAUAUGCUCACUUCUUGCAAUGUGCUAUUGCAAAGAUAUGAGUCAAGAAUCAUUCAAAGAUGUCCUGUGUUCCAGAAGAGACUAUUAACAAUGAAAAAGAAAAAUGGUCAUAUUAAACUCACCCUCAUGUUGUUUCAAAGCUGUAUGACUUUUCUUAUGUGGGGACAGAAAAGGAGAUAUUUUUAAUGAAUAUCACAGCCCACACUUUCAAAGCAAUGGCAGUGGAUAGAGGCUCAAUUUAAGGCUUAGAGGACCCAAAAGAUGUCAUAAAAGUAGUCCAUGUGACUUGUGCAUCUAAUUUCAAGUCGUCUGAAGGCAUACGAUAAUUAAUUUUUUUGUGAGAAACAACCUUAAAUGAGAGAAGCUCCUUCUAAGUGGUUUGUGUGUUCAUAUGUUCAUUUUGUUCUUUUUUUAAGCUUUAAAAUGAGGUUCUGUCAAUUGCCAUUGUGUUGAAAAGAUAGCCUGUGAUGUUCAUUAAAACCUCUCCUUUUAUGUGCUCCUAAAAUUUAUUUUUGGUUGAGUAUUAAAGGGUACUGAAGUUCAAAUGAAAUGUGUAGUCGUAUUUUUAAAGCAAAAUGGCUAAAAGAAAAUAUGUAUCCUACUGUAUUUGAUGACAAAUUGUGAUUCUGAGAUGUUUAAAGUGUU
Long non-coding RNA from Myxocyprinus asiaticus (Chinese sucker), 1294 nucleotides. RefSeq lists it as uncharacterized. The record is from RefSeq and is a predicted model, not a curated record. The transcript is spliced from 3 exons. Lineage: Eukaryota; Metazoa; Chordata; Actinopteri; Cypriniformes; Catostomidae.